UGAGGAAUAUUGGUCAAUGGGUGCAAGCCUGAACCAGCCAUCCCGCGUGAAGGACGACUGCCCUAUGGGUUGUAAACUUCUUUUGUAUAGGGAUAAUCCUACCCUCGUGAGGGUAGCUGAAGGUACUAUACGAAUAAGCACCGGCUAACUCCGUGCCAGCAGCCGCGGUAAUACGGAGGGUGCAAGCGUUAUCCGGAUUUAUUGGGUUUAAAGGGUCCGUAGGCGGACUUAUAAGUCAGUGGUGAAAGCCUGUCGCUUAACGAUAGAACUGCCAUUGAUACUGUAAGUCUUGAGUAUAUUUGAGGUAGCUGGAAUAAGUAGUGUAGCGGUGAAAUGCAUAGAUAUUACUUAGAACACCAAUUGCGAAGGCAGGUUACCAAGAUAUAACUGACGCUGAGGGACGAAAGCGUGGGGAGCGAACA
This 422-nucleotide ribosomal RNA is filed under the name uncultured bacterium. Its description in RNAcentral is "bacterial SSU rRNA". It matches the Rfam family "Bacterial small subunit ribosomal RNA", at positions 355 to 774 of the family's 1533-position model. The record is from RNAcentral.